GACGAACGCUGGCGGCGUGCCUAAUACAUGCAAGUAGAACGCUGAAGAGAGGAGCUUGCUCUUCUUGGAUGAGUUGCGAACGGGUGAGUAACGCGUAGGUAACCUGCCUUGUAGCGGGGGAUAACUAUUGGAAACGAUAGCUAAUACCGCAUAACAAUGGAUGACACAUGUCAUUUAUUUGAAAGGGGCAAUUGCUCCACUACAAGAUGGACCUGCGUUGUAUUAGCUAGUAGGUGAGGUAAUGGCUCACCUAGGCGACGAUACAUAGCCGACCUGGGAGGGUGAUCGGCCACACUGGGACUGAGACACGGCCCAGACUCCUACGGGAGGCAGCAGUAGGGAAUCUUCGGCAAUGGGGGCAACCCUGACCGAGCAACGCCGCGUGAGUGAAGAAGGUUUUCGGAUCGUAAAGCUCUGUUGUAAGUCAAGAACGGGUGUGAGAGUGGAAAGUUCACACUGUGACGGUAGCUUACCAGAAAGGGACGGCUAACUACGUG
RNAcentral lists this ribosomal RNA (497 nucleotides) under uncultured bacterium. RNAcentral's name for it is "partial 16S ribosomal RNA". It matches the Rfam family "Bacterial small subunit ribosomal RNA", at positions 28 to 507 of the family's 1533-position model. The record is from RNAcentral.